RNAcentral lists this long non-coding RNA (293 nucleotides) under Phoenix dactylifera (date palm). RNAcentral describes it as "long non-coding RNA (PDAC_LNC022475)". Lineage: Eukaryota; Viridiplantae; Streptophyta; Magnoliopsida; Arecales; Arecaceae. The record is from RNAcentral.
AAAAUACAAUCCAUCUCAUCUCCUCCCAACCAUCUUCUCCGAUGACAACCUCUGUUGCCAUUGGUUCUCCCAUUCGCACAUCCGCCUCCCACUCCUUCAGUUACUAUGUCACACCCCAAACCUGUCACCUAAAUCAAACAUGUGACACGAUCAAAUAAUCCUUAAAGUGAAGCCCUAGAGGUUAUGUAAGGCCUAAGAUGAAUAAUAUCCACACAAAACCAAUAAUAAUCAAAUUAAUCCAAUAAAACAACUAAUAUUAAAUAAUCAACUAGUUCAAUUAAAAAAGUUUCAAA